AUUUUGAAUCUAAAAUAGAUAAUUUGCGUGAUUUAUGUAAAUCCAAAGAGUUUUUGAAAAUGUGUGUAGUAAGUAGUGAUUCAAAGUAGUAUCAAUUAAAUCUAGGUACCUGCUGAAAAUGACUUCUUUCAAACGCUCCUGUGCGUAUAUUUGUGGUUUGAAAUUCAUAAAAUGUGCUUGGGAAAAAGAAAUAUGAUCAGAAUAUUCACUGACUAUCGACUAUUAUGCAAUCACUGUAUAAUCCAUUCAAAAUUAGGAGAACAGUGACAACCAAAUUUACCCAAUUACAGGAGUGAAUCUGAUCAAAUGUUCCGAGUCACUUCUUAAAUUUCUAUGAUUGACCCCGCCCUACUUAGUUACUGUUGCUGUGUCCGAUAAGCCAUGCCGCUCUCACACUCAGUACCGUCUCAAAAGCUGUGCCAAGUGUGCAACUGCACAGGGCCUCGCGCCUCUAAAGGGCCACGCUCCUGGCCUGCAUUUUAUGUCUAAUUUUUAUUACUGUUUUUCCACCCAUUUUGUACUUUGAAAGACUAAAAUAGUCAUAGUUUAUAGACAGUAUAAGACUCUGUGUACAAGAAUGAGUAAAGCUUUUUUGUUGUUAGGAUGACAACAUUUUUAAAAGUUAAACUUUUAGGCUGGUCUAGAGCCCUGCAUUUCACCCCGACUUUUUUACGGCCCUUGGGCCGGGCUUCGGGCCAGAAUGAUUAUGAUUAUAAUGAAAGAGGUUUUGUUUUUGAUUAGUUUUAUUUUGUAACACAGUAAUUUAAAGCUUUCUAAUAUAUAUAUAUAUAUAUAUCAUGUAUGUGAGGCAUGUAAGCUGUUCGGUGAGUUUCGGUUCAUUUUGCAUUUUAACAAACUAAAAUGCUCCAAACGUUUUUCUUAACUUAUUAAUAAAAAAUAAAAAAAAACUAUAAAAUAUACAUUCACUUUGCCAUUACAUACAAAACUGAACUAUUUUAAUAGCUGGAACAGUAGUAUAAGCUUUUUGGGCGAGGGGGGGGAA
Long non-coding RNA from Cyprinus carpio carpio, 1003 nucleotides. The record is from Ensembl. Lineage: Eukaryota; Metazoa; Chordata; Actinopteri; Cypriniformes; Cyprinidae.